RNA transcript from Anguilla rostrata (American eel), 1703 nucleotides. It is a transcript of the gene named purinergic receptor P2X, ligand-gated ion channel, 4a, with no coding region annotated. The transcript is spliced from 13 exons. Lineage: Eukaryota; Metazoa; Chordata; Actinopteri; Anguilliformes; Anguillidae. The record is from RefSeq and is a predicted model, not a curated record.
AUGACGCAAGGCAGAUUUCGGUAAAUCCAUGCGGAAGAUCAACUAAGGUUGACGGGGAUUUAUUGGAGAGUUGCGGAUGUAUUUUAAGUGGGCACGUUAAUAUGUCACAAAUCCCGUGACCACCGGGAAUGAGUGCGAUCUCAUAAAAGAGGCUGAGAAAGCUAGCAUACCGCCUUUCCUACUGUUUUUCAGCAAAUAUAAACGUAAACAUGACACUUGAUAAAGGGUGUUGCGCCUCUAUCUGUCAGAGUUUUUUCGAAUACGAGACCCCUAAAAUUCUAGUGAUAAGAAGCAAAAGAGUGGGAACAGUCAACAGGUUGAUCCAGGCAGUCAUCAUUGCUUAUGUGAUCGGGUACGUCUGCGUGCUGAAGAGGGGCUACCAAGACACAGACUCCGUCAUCAGCUCGGUCACCACCAAGGUGAAGGGCGUCGCCCUCACCAACACAUCUGACCUGGGCCUUCGCGUUUGGGAUGUGGCGGAUUACAUCAUACCCCCUCAGGUAGCACCCACAUCUGAGGAGGAGGAGGAGAGUUCCUUCUUUGUGCUAACAAACAUGAUCGUCACCGCUAACCAAACGCAGUCACGCUGCCCUGAGGUCCCCGGGCCAAACUCCAACUGUUCGUCGGACAGAGACUGCAUCCCAGGUCUCAAGGACGUGCGGGGAAAUGGUGUGCAGACAGGUAACUGUGUGAAUUACUCAGACUCUGUAAAGACUUGCGAAGUCCUGGCUUGGUGUCCCUUGGAAGUGAACGUGGAUCCACCUGUUCCUCCCAUGCUGGCAGAUGCUGAAAACUUCACUGUGCUGAUUAAGAACAACAUCCGCUACCCCAAGUUCAACUUCAACAAGAGGAACAUCCUGCCCCACAUCAAUAAGACCUACCUGACGCACUGCAUAUUCAACGCCACCACUGACCCGGACUGCCCCAUCUUUUCUCUCAAGUACAUCGUCUCUGCCGCACAGGAGGACUUUCAGACAAUGGCGGUGAUGGGCGGAGUCAUGGGGAUUCAGAUCCGGUGGGACUGUGACCUGGACAUGCCGGCCAGCUGGUGCAAGCCCCGGUACACCUUCCGGCGGCUGGACAACAAGGACCCCGAAAACAACGUGGCCCCAGGGUACAACUUCAGGUUUGCAAAAUACUACAGGACUGCCGAUGACGUGGAGGUGAGAACAUUGAUCAAAGGGUUCGGGAUUCGCUUCGAUGUCAUGGUUUUUGGCAAGGCGGGGAAGUUCAGCAUUGUGCCGAUGCUGCUGAACAUUGGUGCUGGGCUCGCUCUCCUCGGGCUGAUAUGAGCUGAGCCAGAUCAUGCUCUCGGGGACCAGGGCUAACUGGUAGAGCAGUUACUUGUGUGAAAUUGCUUGGCUAGGUUACGAUUGUCUGUGAUUGGGUUGUCCUCACCUUUAUGAAGAAAAGGCACCAGUAUAAAGAAGAGAAAUUCUCUUAUGUGGAUGACUAUGGACUGCUUUCUGAAACGGCAGAAUGAGAAUGAGACGGGCAGGUCCCACUGCGAGAGCUCACAUUGAGAUCGGCAGGAGGACCUGUGGAAGAGGAGGGGCCUCCACUGGACACCGAAACCCACACUCCACCCAUGCCCCGCCCACCCUGUCCAGUAUUCUGCACAAACCCCCACCCCCCCUCUCAAGCCAGUAAACUGAUUCUUUGUCUGCAUCUAACAAUUAAACCAUUUGACCUCUGAACUGUGA